Molecule: ribosomal RNA, 253 nt
Filed under: uncultured bacterium
Lineage: Bacteria
Description: partial 16S ribosomal RNA
Rfam family: Bacterial small subunit ribosomal RNA
Source: RNAcentral
UACGAAGGGGGCUAGCGUUGUUCGAAAUUACUGGGCGUAAAGCGCACGUAGGCGGAUCCUUAAGUCAGGGGUGAAAUCCCGAGGCUCAACCUCGGAACUGCCUUUGAUACUGGGGAUAUCGAGUCCGUGAGAGGUGAGUGGAACUGCGAGUGUAGAGGUGAAAUUCGUAGAUAUUCGCAAGAACACCAGUGGCGAAGGCGGCUCACUGGCCCGGUACUGACGCUGAGGUGCGAAAGCGUGGGGAGCAAACAGG